AGCUGAGUGAAGAAAGGAGGGAGGGAGGACCAGAGGCGAAGCAGCCUCCGAUCGAGCAUUCUGAUUGGCUGCUGCUAUUCUCCUUUUCCUCAAUCCAUUGUGACGGUACACGGAACAGCGUGACACCAUCAGAAUGGGGUGUGCCCAGCACCCAGCCACUGUCAGCGCUCUGUCCUCUCCUUCCCACACUCCGUAACAGCCCCGGCCUCGCAGCGAUCUGGGCUUCACGCCCCGGUUUCACUUCCAACUCACUCAACGCCAUCCCUCUGCUGCCCUUUCUGGCUCCCCGCUACCCUUCAUUCUCCUGGACUCUGGACUGGCAGUGGAUCAUGCCAGGUAUGAAGAGGAAAUGGAUCUCAUUUUUUGAAUUUUAGGUUAAGAAACAUGAAACCUCUCAGAAUCCAGAAAGUGAACUGUUUGGAGAAGACACCAUGAAGAUGCCUCCACAGACCACAAGAUGCACCAGAAAAUACAGAGUGAACUUUGGAAUGUGGUGAUUUGAACUGUAUUCUCAGAAGGGCAGUGAGUGUGGAAACUGAGCAUUGUGUGCACCUAGUCCUGUGUGACUGAGAAACAACAACCAGAACUUACUAUCCAGAGACUCCCAACCAAGGACCUAGGUGAUGUCUAGAGAUUGAGCUAUUAAAUUAUAACAUAUACAAAGUGCUUUGGAGUGGCAGAAUUUCCAGGUGUGAAGGCAAAACUACUUUGAAGAACUUGAAAGGAAA
Non-coding RNA from Monodelphis domestica (gray short-tailed opossum), 728 nucleotides. The record is from RefSeq and is a predicted model, not a curated record. NCBI's taxonomy places the organism in Eukaryota, Metazoa, Chordata, Mammalia, Didelphimorphia, Didelphidae.